AUGAACGCCUAGCGAAUUAGGCUUAAACACACGUGCCAAGGUCGAGGGGGCAUCACGAGGUAGCAAUACUUUGGUGGCGACCGGCGUACGGGGUGCGUAAACACGUAUGCAACCUUCCUGUAAGUGUGGGAUAGCCUCCUGAAAGGGAGAUUAAUACCUCAUGAUAUGUAUUUGCUGCAUGGCAUUUACAUUAAACAUUUAUGGCUUACAGAUGGGCAUGCGUUCCAUUAGGCAGUUGGUGUGGUAACGGCUCACCAAACCUACGAUGGAUAGGGGUUCUGAGAGGAAGGUCCCCCACACUGGAACUGAGACACGGUCCAGACUCCUACGGGAGGCAGCAGUGAGGAAUAUUGGUCAAUGGGCGCGAGCCUGAACCAGCCACGUCGCGUGAAGGAUGACGGCCUUAUGGGUUGUAAACUUCUUUUACAGGGGAAUAAAGUGAGUCACGUGUGAUUUUUUUGCAUGUACCCUGUGAAUAAGCAUCGGCUAACUCCGUG
RNAcentral lists this ribosomal RNA (497 nucleotides) under uncultured bacterium. RNAcentral's name for it is "bacterial SSU rRNA". It matches the Rfam family "Bacterial small subunit ribosomal RNA", at positions 36 to 507 of the family's 1533-position model. The record is from RNAcentral.